UGCCAGCAGCCGCGGUAAUACGGAGGGGGUUAGCGUUGUUCGGAAUUACUGGGCGUAAAGCGCACGUAGGCGGAUUAGUAAGUUAGGGGUGAAAUCCCGGGGCUCAACCCCGGAACCGCCUCCAAAACUGCUGGUCUAGAGUUCGAGAGAGGUGAGUGGAAUUCCGAGUGUAGAGGUGAAAUUCGUAGAUAUUCGGAGGAACACCAGUGGCGAAGGCGGCUUUCUGGACCGAUACUGACGCUGAGACGCGAAAGCGUGGGGAGCAAACAGGAUUAGAUA
RNAcentral lists this ribosomal RNA (279 nucleotides) under uncultured bacterium. Its description in RNAcentral is "partial 16S ribosomal RNA". It matches the Rfam family "Bacterial small subunit ribosomal RNA", at positions 506 to 784 of the family's 1533-position model. The record is from RNAcentral.